RNAcentral lists this ribosomal RNA (253 nucleotides) under uncultured prokaryote. Its description in RNAcentral is "partial 16S ribosomal RNA". It matches the Rfam family "Bacterial small subunit ribosomal RNA", at positions 525 to 777 of the family's 1533-position model. The record is from RNAcentral.
ACGUAGGUGGCAAGCGUUGUCCGGAAUCACUGGGCGUAAAGCGCGCGCAGGCGGCCAUUUAAGUCUGGGGUGAAAGCCCGAAGCUCAACUUCGGGACUGCCUUGGAUACUGGGUGGCUUGAGCAUCAGAGAGGCAAGGGGAAUUCCACGUGUAGCGGUGAAAUGCGUAGAGAUGUGGAGGAACACCAGUGGCGAAGGCGCCUUGCUGGCUGAUUGCUGACGCUGAGGCGCGAAAGCGUGGGGAGCAAACAGGA